RNAcentral lists this ribosomal RNA (780 nucleotides) under uncultured bacterium. RNAcentral's name for it is "bacterial SSU rRNA". It matches the Rfam family "Bacterial small subunit ribosomal RNA", at positions 154 to 916 of the family's 1533-position model. The record is from RNAcentral.
AAAGGAGGGGCAAUACCGAAUAUUGUCCGGAACCGUGAAGGGUUUCGGGGAAAGGGAGGCCUCUGACACAAGCUUUCGCCUUAAGAUGAGCCCAUGGCCCAUCAGCUAGUUGGUAGGGUAAAGGCCUACCAAGGCUACGACGGGUCGCUGGUCUGAGAGGACGACCAGCCACACUGGCACUGAGAUACGGGCCAGACUCCUACGGGAGGCAGCAGUGAGGAAUAUUGCGCAAUGGGGGAAACCCUGACGCAGCAACGCCGCGUGUGGGAAGAAGGCCUUCGGGUCGUAAACCACUUUUACUCGGGACGAAAAAGGGAUAUCAAACAAAUAUCCCCGAUGACGGUACCGUGAGAAUAAGCCACGGCUAACUCUGUGCCAGCAGCCGCGGUAAGACAGAGGUGGCAAGCGUUGUUCGGAAUUACUGGGCGUAAAGAGUCUGUAGGUGGUUUGUCAAGUCUUUGGUGAAAGGCCGUAGCUUAACUAUGGGAAUGCCAAAGAGACUGGCAGGCUGGAGGCUGGGAGAGGGAAGCGGAAUUUCUGGUGUAGCGGUGAAAUGCGUAGAUAUCAGAAGGAAGGCCGGUGGCGAAGGCGGCUUCCUGGAACAGUCCUGACACUGAGAGACGAAAGCGUGGGGAGCAAACAGGAUUAGAUACCCUGGUAGUCCACGCCCUAAACGAUGGGUACUAAGUGUGGAGGGGUUAACCCUCCGUGCCGCAGCAAACGCAGUAAGUACCCCGCCUGGGGAGUACGGCCGCAGGUUGAACUCAAAGGAAUUGACGG